This 72-nucleotide microRNA precursor is filed under the name Schmidtea mediterranea. RNAcentral's name for it is "Sme-Mir-281_pre stem-loop". The record is from RNAcentral. Lineage: Eukaryota; Metazoa; Platyhelminthes; Tricladida; Dugesiidae.
UGAAGAGCUAUUCAUGAGGUGCAGUAUAAUGACAAUUUCAUCUGUUCCCCAUGUCAUGGAUAUGCUCUUCAU